Myotis davidii is the source of this 108-nucleotide non-coding RNA. Lineage: Eukaryota; Metazoa; Chordata; Mammalia; Chiroptera; Vespertilionidae. The record is from Rfam.
AUCACUUCUUGGCCUUUUGGCUAAGAUCAAGUGUAGUAUCUGUUCUUAUCCGUUAACAAAGGAGAACUGGGCCAGAGCAGUAAGUCAUAGCCCUGAUCCUGAACCACU